GUGUGUGGAGGAAAAGCAGUAUUUUUUAAACAUUUUCCUCCUCGCUGGUUGGUGGUGUUGGUGAUGGUGGUAGUGGUGGUGAUGGUGAUGAUGGUGGUGGUGGUGGUGACGUGACGAUUGCUUUGCGUUCACUUCGCUAAUUACUACCAGAGAGAGAGAGAGAGAGAGAGAGAGAGAGAGAGAAUAGCGUCGUCAAAGUAAUUUCAAGACCCCGAUCAACCGUUUCGUCACUCGCUGUACCCAUUUUAGCAUCGACCAACAUUGCCUCCAGAAUGCCCCGGAAAGCUACCCAAUGCAACGGUUUAUCUAUUUUUACGGUGGUGGUGGUGGUGGCGGCGGUGCUGUUACUGUGGCUGCUACGCGACUCUCCACAGACAGAAGUUUUCGUGGCCGAGGGAGAUGUCAGAGUUGUUGUACCAAUACCUCACCGUCACCACCACCACCACCACCACCGCCCUGCCCCUCAGGUCAGCUCGGGCCCCUUAUCUGGCAUUCCUCUGUUGCUGAUGGUGACCUCAGAUGAUCUCUCGCUGUUAACCAGAUCUCUUGAGAGCAUUGAGAGAGUGACAUCAGGAAGCGGCCUACAUCUCUAUGCCUCCGUGGCCGAUCCCUCCGAGGAGAUCCUGAGCCUCCUAGAAAGUCACUCCUUCAACAUCCACUCCUUCGGCGCCGCUAAAACGAAACCGAUGUCAUGGUUAGGCCGAAUCCUCCCGGACCUCUCUAUUGCCGAGGAUAUCCGCGAGAUGGCGCGCAAACUCUUCCAUGGAGGAGUGUGCCAGCAGGACCCCUUGUCUCCGGAGAUCAAAAUACUCCACACUGGUGACAAUACGACGAAGAUUUCCACGUUUCGCCCCACGCUGGCCAACCUAACGCAGCAGGAGAGGGAAGCUACGUACAUCAACCACCCAUACAACCCCAUGUUUCGCCGCGCUGUGAUGAAUUCAAAAGGUUCUGAGGGUGGCGAGGGCGGCGAGGCGUGCAAGGAGGCCGAGCAACUGAAGGAGGCGUUGAAGCACAUCCUAUCGGCCCUCCCUGACCUCAAGUACCUCCUGAUGGUGGAGUCCGGCCUCUACCUCCACCCGGACUUCGUGAGUUUCUUCGCCCAGACCCUGCCGGCCAUGCAACAAGACCCCUCCCUGUACUGCAUCUCCGCCUCCAACCCCCUGGCUCUCCCUGCUCACCCUGGGGACCUUGCACGACUCCAUCGGCUUGAUCACUUCACAGGGGGAGCCUCCAUGGUACCCCGGAGCCUGGUGGAGGAGGUGGCGGGGGAGUUUGUGGUGUAUGAACAGAUGAUGGAGGAUGCUGACGGCUGGGGUGUUGGGGGAAGGAGUGGGAGGACGGGAAUGGAGUGGCUGACGGAGUGGCUGUCAUGGUGGGGGAGGAGAUAUCGUCGGGGGUGCGUUGUGCCUGAUGUCCCCCGGGUGUGUCCCCUGCUCCCCCCCAGCGACCCCGCCCCCGCCCUCCCUGAGACCUGCGCGCGCCUACGGGAGGAGAGUGAACAGCCACCACCCCGCAACGCACCUCCAUUUGACAUUUCCAAACUCGUCCACUAUAAGUACAGUCAAGAAUUGUUCAGUGACAUCGAGUCGGCGCAGUCCCUCGGCACCAAAGUGUUGAAUUGUACCGAUCCUGACUUCUUCCCGCAGCCCAUGAAUCACUCCAGUUACGUCAUAUUCAUCAAGAUGGAAAACUAUGACGACGACUUCACCUUCCACCACGUGAUGGAGUGCUUCGGCCUUGACCUCCCGGCUGCUGUGGGCUACUUCGAAGGAGUGUUCCAGGUGACCUUCAGAGGCAAGCGGGUCUUCAUCCUCGGCGCUCCCUACUCCCGCUUCUCACCCGGCAUGAAGGAAAGCGACAACCUCAUCAUAGCGGACAUCAAGAGCCUGUUUGUGCGCGGCCAGACCAACUACAUGAGACACAGGCGCGACAAGUUCAUCUUCAACACCGUCCUCGUCCUGCACUCCAUGCCUUAGCGCUUAGUCUGGACCCCGACACGCGUAUACAGACCAGCCAGACUCAAGUUAGAAAUUCGUCCCCUUACUAUACCCGGAAAUACUGAAGAAUAUAAAACAAAGACUCCUAACAGUAACCUCAGUGUUCUGUUGUGUCCUGUUACCGUUGUUCCUCCUCAAAACGGGAGCUAGGAAAUCAUCUUCAUUCCCUCACUAAAAUACAAGAAAGGAAAGACUGUAACUUCAUCCCUCCGCUCACAAGGACAAUUGAACCUCAUGCCACUUGUGCUGGACUCUGGCAGCAUAGGAUACAUGUGACCUGAAUGUGUGUCUGCUGUGACUGUGUAUGAAGUGGUGUGAAGAUGCCGCGGACCCACAACCCCCUCCCAAAGCCGUACACUGAGGCUGAUGUGUUUCGCGCUGUCCAAGAAGUUGAAGCUGGAGCAAGUAUAUACUCAGCUGCAAAGAAAUACCACUUGUAUGCCACCACGCUGCAAAAAAGAGUUCUAGCCCAUAGGGGAAGAAUUACUCUAACAAAAAGAGGUCAUAAAAUAAGGAUGCCUGAAGAAACUGAGCAGAAACUUGCAGUCUCUGUUAGACAGAUGGGUAAAUUUGGAUUUCAGCCAACUAUAGGAAAAUUAAGGGAAAUGGCAUAUGACUAUCUACGUGCUGAUAAACUAACACAUCUAUUCAAUGAUAAACUGCCAGGAUAUGAUUGGGCAAAAUCCUUCAUGAACCGCCACCACCUUUGUCUCGAGAAAAAAGGAUCUUCAUUAAUAACGGCGCAUGGAGAGCGCUUAUUGCAUUCCAGUGAUGAGCGCACAUUUUCAUCACAGACCCCGCCAGAGGUUCUUUCUCCGGCAACACUGAUCAGAAUGUUGCAGCAGUUUGCACCACGUGGAAUGAAAUAUGUUGUUCAACUUGUUCCUGACAUAGUGGAAAACCCAUUUAAGGAAGCCACCAAGUCAUGUGAUCCUCCAAGUGCUCAGCCUCAAAAAAGACGUCGCAGCUCUUGUGAAAAAGCCAAAGAAGUAAAGAAGAAAGGUGAAGAAAAUGGAAAAUCCAAGCGUAAGAAGAGAUCAGUUUUAGAGGAGUUUGCCGGUGAAGUGGAAGUAGACGAUCCUGUACCUUUGAAAACCGAAGUUGAUAGUGAUGGUCUUUCUGAAAUUGGUGCUGGAAGUCCUGUAAAUCUAGAGAAAACAAUAACAAAAAUAAUUAAAAGUGAAGAACCUGCUGAAAAUAGGGUGAAACCAUGUCAUGUGAUCCUGACGAAGUUGAAGUGACGUUCCUCAAAAGGAGCGUCCUAACAAGUGACACAGCAAGGCUAAGGUGGGACUGGGCGGUCAGGGAGGAUAAAGAUGUCGUUAGUGUGUCCACCAUCUUGUGUGGGCCGGCCCAACCACAACUAGUGCUUAACCCGGUAGCAGCGGGGAUCAUGAUUCUUAAUGGUCCAUCUAAGCGAGAAAAAUGAGAAAAAAUCACCCCUCACACAAACCCUUUCAUAAUAUAUAUCAAAGCAUUUGUGAACGGUUUAUGUAUUAUCUAUUUUGGGGGGUUAUAUCAUGGCACAUAAUUGGCCCGUCGCUGCUACACGGUAAAGCCAUAAAUUUGGCCCAUCUCUGCUACCGGGUUAAAACUUGUAGAAAACAGGCAUUUUACUUUAGGGAAGAGGCAGCGGCCCUUAGACACCAUUGUGAAAUGAUUAAGUAAGUCAUAUGCCAAAAAAAGGUAGUGUUUAAUGUCAUGGAAAAUGUAGGCAACCUUAAUGCAUAUGAUUUUUGAAACUGAAGAGAUGUACUACUUUGUUUUCUUCGUUAAAUUAUUCAUAGAAGUAAAUUUAGAGUCGGUGGUGCAUAUCCUGUCCCUGAUGGUACCUAAACAUGCAUUCAAGUAUACAUGUUUCUACAUUUAUAAGGAUUUCUAAAUACAUGGAUAUGAAUAUAUAACCUGUAUUUUCCAGGUUUAUUGGAUCAUUCUAAAUCCAUUGAUAUCCUCAUUGAAUAAAGUAAUACACAUUGUUCAAAGUCAAUUACAAUUC
Eriocheir sinensis (Chinese mitten crab) is the source of this 3996-nucleotide RNA transcript. RefSeq lists it as uncharacterized. The transcript is spliced from 14 exons. The record is from RefSeq and is a predicted model, not a curated record. NCBI's taxonomy places the organism in Eukaryota, Metazoa, Arthropoda, Malacostraca, Decapoda, Varunidae.